This 744-nucleotide ribosomal RNA is filed under the name Salmonella enterica subsp. enterica serovar Enteritidis. RNAcentral describes it as "partial 23S ribosomal RNA". It matches the Rfam family "Bacterial large subunit ribosomal RNA", at positions 1 to 1198 of the family's 2925-position model. Lineage: Bacteria; Pseudomonadati; Pseudomonadota; Gammaproteobacteria; Enterobacterales; Enterobacteriaceae. The record is from RNAcentral.
AGCAUUUGCUGUACCGCGUUGACGGAGCGAAGCGACGUCAAACCGAUAAAACAGCAGUGUAAAGUGAGCCGCAGGGCGCUUUGCGCGACAGCGCAAAGGCAGGCGGUUUCGCGUAGCGAAAGCGAAUGCUUUGGGGUGGGGUGACUGCGUACCUUUUGUAUAAUGGGUCAGCGACUUAUAUUCUGUAGCAAGGUUAACCGAAUAGGGGAGCCGGAGGGAAACCGAGUCUUAAUUGGGCGUUAAGUUGCAGGGUAUAGACCCGAAACCCGGUGAUCUAGCCAUGGGCAGGUUGAAGGGUGGGUAACACUAACUGGAGGACCGAACCGACUAAUGUUGAAAAAUUAGCGGAUGACCUGUGGCUGGGGGUGAAAGGCCAAUCAAACCGGGAGAUAGCUGGUUCUCCCCGAAAGCUAUUUAGGUAGCGCCUCGUGAAUUCAUCUCCGGGGGUAGAGCACUGUUUCGGCUAGGGGGCCAUCCCGGCUUACCAACCCGAUGCAAACUGCGAAUACCGGAGAAUGUUAUCACGGGAGACACACGGCGGGUGCUAACGUCCGUCGUGAAGAGGGAAACAACCCAGACCGCCAGCUAAGGUCCCAAAGUCAUGGUUAAGUGGGAAACGAUGUGGGAAGGCCCAGACAGCCAGGAUGUUGGCUUAGAAGCAGCCAUCAUUUAAAGAAAGCGUAAUAGCUCACUGGUCGAGUCGGCCUGCGCGGAAGAUGUAACGGGGCUAAACCAUGCACCGAA